ACACCCAUUUUAUUGCUGUUAUAGGUUUUAACCGAGCUUAGCGUUGUUCAUUUUUUUUCACAACAGUCAUGUAAAAAAUUGAACACACCCGACUGAGCACCCCGAAAUACAAGGGCCUCACCAGGACUUAACUGCCCUGUAACGCCCUGAAAAUGGUCAUAACGCCCCAAUUAGGGGCAA
This 180-nucleotide small RNA is filed under the name Pseudomonas guineae. Its description in RNAcentral is "Pseudomonas sRNA P1". It matches the Rfam family "Pseudomonas sRNA P1". Rfam says of the family: There appears to be two related copies of P1 sRNA in the P.aeruginosa PA01 genome and both copies appear to be located upstream of predicted glutamine synthetase genes. This sRNA appears to be conserved amongst several Pseudomonas species. Lineage: Bacteria; Pseudomonadati; Pseudomonadota; Gammaproteobacteria; Pseudomonadales; Pseudomonadaceae. The record is from Rfam by way of RNAcentral.